Molecule: ribosomal RNA, 289 nt
Filed under: uncultured Rhodospirillales bacterium
Lineage: Bacteria; Pseudomonadati; Pseudomonadota; Alphaproteobacteria; Rhodospirillales
Description: partial 16S ribosomal RNA
Source: RNAcentral
CUACCCGGGUAUCUAAUCCUGUUUGCUCCCCACGCUUUCGCGCCUCAGCGUCAGUUACGGUCCAGAGAGCCGCCUUCGCCACCGGUGUUCUUCCCAAUAUCUACGAAUUUCACCUCUACACUGGGAAUUCCACUCUCCUCUCCCGCACUCCAGCCUCCGAGUAUCAAAUGCCAUUCCCAGGUUGAGCCCAGGGCUUUCACAUCUGACUUCAAAGGCCGCCUGCGCGCCCUUUACGCCCAGUAAUUCCGAACAACGCUCGCCCCCUUCGUAUUACCGCGGCUGCUGGCAC